UACAGAGGUCUCAAGCGUUGUUCGGAUUCAUUGGGCGUAAAGGGUGCGUAGGUGGCGGGGUAAGUCAGGUGUGAAAUCUCGGGGCUCAACCCCGAAACUGCAUUUGAUACUGCCUUGCUCGAGUACUGGAGAGGAGAUUGGAAUUUACGGUGUAGCAGUGAAAUGCGUAGAUAUCGUAAGGAAGACCAGUGGCGAAGGCGAGUCUCUGGACAGUUACUGACGCUGAGGCACGAAGGCCAGGGGAGCAAACGGG
RNAcentral lists this ribosomal RNA (253 nucleotides) under uncultured bacterium. RNAcentral's name for it is "partial 16S ribosomal RNA". It matches the Rfam family "Bacterial small subunit ribosomal RNA", at positions 524 to 776 of the family's 1533-position model. The record is from RNAcentral.